AAAAGAAAUUGCGAAAUUUAAUUAAGCAUGCAUGUGAAUUGCCUAUGCCAAAAUCCGUGGCCAAAUCCUCGUAUAUUUAGGAAUUUAACUUAUGCAUAUGGACCGUUUUUUAUCAAUAUAAAAAGCAUAGAUUUGUUGCGGUAAAAAGGAGAGGGAGAAUCUAAGAGAGAAUUAAGAAAAGCCGAGAGCAGCAGGAGCAAUUUGGAGGAAGAAGACGCUGAUAUUGAGUUUUUCUUUCCCCUUUUUCAAUUGUUUGCUUGAAUGUUCCUACAUUCUUUAUAGAUUCUUUUUAUAUUUCAUAAAAGUUAAUUUAUUUUGCUAGGGUGAGGAUGUAGCUUGAUUUUAAAGAUUUAAUUUCGUAAAUCUGUGUUAUUUUCAGUUUAUUAUUCUAUGAUUGAGUGUUAAUAUUAUGCUUAAUACUUUUAAAUAUCUAGCCAAUACUUGAAUGAUUUAAAUAUAUAUAAUGAGAUCAAAAGAAGAUUUAUGUAUUUUUACUAUGUGUAAUGUAUGUCAUGAAUUGAAUAAAAGACAAAGAUGUGCCAACAUGACUCGUGUAAUUUUAUCUUUGAAUUUCUAUAUUUGAAUUUCUAUAGAAUUUAAUGAAUCUUUGCAUGUCUAAAUUCACAUAGAGAUAUAGUGGGUUAAUAUGUGAAUGUAUUUUUGAUACUAGUCAAGAGAGGAUAUUGAAUAAAUUAGAAAACUCCACUGUCAACAUGGGUAAUAAACUUUAAUAGCAUAGAUAGAGGACUAAAUUGGAUUAGUUAUGGUUGAAUGUCCUAGAGUCUAAUUCUCUUGGUGAUUUCUUUCACUACUUGCAUCAUUAUUUAAUUUUUAGUUGUUUUAUUUUAUUUUAGUCUUUAAUAUAACUUCACUUAUUCGACUGUUCAAAUAAAUUUGGGAUAGAAUAAUUCCAGUACCUAAAAGGAUAUACAGGGCCAAUUUAGAAUUGCGGAGGUUGAUAAAAUAAGUUGCUUGUGCUGUGUAGAUAAAAUAAGCUGCUGAUUAAAAAAGUAGUUUGGUGUUUGGUAAACUGUGUUGUUGCGGUUGCUGUGAACUUGAAAAAUAGAGUACACGCGUUUGGUAAAGUUUGUUAUGAAAGUGGUGUUUUAUUAUAUAAUAACCAAAAUAGACAUAAGUUUUAAUUGCUUGUUAUUUUUACAGUAUAUUUAAUAAAUUGUUUAGACAUUUUUUUUUCUUAAAUAUGUAAAAUUACAUUAAAAAGAUCAAUUAAAAAAAAUUAAAGAAUUUCGUAAUCUGUUAUAUAAAAUAUGAUAAAAAUUCAUACUUAUACAUAAUCCAAAUAAAAUAAAAAGUAUUACAUUUACAAUAAUUUUUUUGCAAUAAAGUUCCUUAAUUUUUUCAUUUCUUAGGAUCCAGAGCCAUUAGAUAUCAUAUGUAUUGUGAAUAUGAUGGAUUUU
RNAcentral lists this long non-coding RNA (1418 nucleotides) under Citrus x clementina. RNAcentral's name for it is "Citrus clementina (C. clementina) long non-coding RNA (CCLE_LNC000378)". Lineage: Eukaryota; Viridiplantae; Streptophyta; Magnoliopsida; Sapindales; Rutaceae. The record is from RNAcentral.